UACAGAGACUGCAAGCGUUAUUCGGAUUCACUGGGCGUAAAGGGUGCGCAGGCGGCCGGGUGUGUCAGAUGUGAAAUCCCCGGGCUUAACCUGGGAACUGCACUUGAAACUACGAUGCUGGAGUAUGGCAGAGGGAGGUGGAAUUCCACGUGUAGCGGUGAAAUGCGUAGAGAUGUGGAGGAACACCGAUGGCGAAGGCAGCCUCCUGGGCCAAUACUGACGCUCAUGCACGAAAGCGUGGGGAGCAAACAGG
This 253-nucleotide ribosomal RNA is filed under the name uncultured bacterium. RNAcentral's name for it is "partial 16S ribosomal RNA". It matches the Rfam family "Bacterial small subunit ribosomal RNA", at positions 524 to 776 of the family's 1533-position model. The record is from RNAcentral.